CCUAUCCUAAACAAAGGUGUACUAACCACACACUACACUCGCCAGAGAAUUACGAGCAAUACGCUUAAAACUCAAAGGACUUGACGGUAUUUCGAAUCCACCUAGAGGAGCCUGUCCUGUAAUCGACAACACACGAUUAACCCCACCACCUUUUGCCUUAAACAGCCUGUAUACCGCCGUCGCAAGCUUACCCCCUGAGGGCUAUAAUAUCUAGCACAACAGCUUAAUUUUUUUGAGCUAAUACGUCAGGUCAAGGUGCAGCCAAUAGGGUGGCAGAGAUGAGCUACAUUUUCUAUAAUCUAGAAAUCAGUCACGGAGGGACCUGUGAAAUUCAGUCCUGUUAAAGUAGGAUUUAGUAGUAAAUUAGGAGAAGAGUGCCUAAUUGAAAAGGGCCCCGAAAUAUGUACACACCGCCCGUCA
This 420-nucleotide ribosomal RNA is filed under the name Osteolaemus tetraspis (dwarf crocodile). Its description in RNAcentral is "partial 12S ribosomal RNA". It matches the Rfam family "Bacterial small subunit ribosomal RNA", at positions 796 to 1399 of the family's 1533-position model. Lineage: Eukaryota; Metazoa; Chordata; Crocodylia; Crocodylidae. The record is from RNAcentral.